This 800-nucleotide ribosomal RNA is filed under the name uncultured bacterium. RNAcentral's name for it is "bacterial SSU rRNA". It matches the Rfam family "Bacterial small subunit ribosomal RNA", at positions 56 to 803 of the family's 1533-position model. The record is from RNAcentral.
GGGAAGCCUAACUGCAGUUCGAGCGAGCUCGCCAAGAUGUUUUACGUGCUUGCACUAAAUGAAACUAGAUACAAGCGAGCGGCGGACGGGUGAGUAACACGUGGGUAACCCGCCCAAGAGACCGGGAUAACACCCGGAAACAGACGCUAAUACCGGAUAACAACACUAGACGCAUCGUCUAGAGUUUGAAAGAUGGUUCUGCUAUCACUCUCGGAUGGACCUGCGGUGCAUUAGCUAGUUGGUAAGGUAACGGCUUACCAAGGCAAUGAUGCAUAGCCGAGUUGAGAGACUGAUCGGCCACAUUGGGACUGAGACACGGCCCAAACUCCUACGGGAGGCAGCAGUAGGGAAUCUUCCACAAUGGACGAAAGUCUGAUGGAGCAACGCCGCGUGAGUGAAGAAGGGUUUCGGCUCGUAAAGCUCUGUUGGUAGUGAAGAAAGAUAGAGGUAGUAACUGGCCUUUAUUUGACGGUAAUUACUUAGAAAGUCACGGCUAACUACGUGCCAGCAGCCGCGGUAAUACGUAGGUGGCAAGCGUUGUCCGGAUUUAUUGGGCGUAAAGCGAGUGCAGGCGGUUCAAUAAGUCUGAUGUGAAAGCCUUCGGCUCAACCGGAGAAUUGCAUCAGAAACUGUUGAACUUGAGUGCAGAAGAGGAGAGUGGAACUCCAUGUGUAGCGGUGGAAUGCGUAGAUAUAUGGAAGAACACCAGUGGCGAAGGCGGCUCUCUGGUCUGCAACUGACGCUGAGGCUCGAAAGCAUGGGUAGCGAACAGGAUUAGAUACCCUGGUAGUCCAUGCCGU